RNAcentral lists this long non-coding RNA (538 nucleotides) under Nilaparvata lugens (brown planthopper). Its description in RNAcentral is "uncharacterized LOC120350576, transcript variant X3". Lineage: Eukaryota; Metazoa; Arthropoda; Insecta; Hemiptera; Delphacidae. The record is from RNAcentral.
GGACUUUUGGACCUGUGCCAAACUGAUCAACUGCAUCCUAAUGGAACGUUCAAGAUGUGAUUCAGUAACUGAUACGGUUGUUGCAAUAAUUAUUUUUGACCAAAUGAUUACGAACAAGCGCAGCUAUCUUUGGAGGGGUAAUGCACCUACUGAUAUCCCGUAAUAAGAACUUGGGAGAGAUUUAGUGAAAACCUGGAGAACGGCCACUUAGCUCACAAAUCUGAGCUGUUCACAUCAAGCUGAUAUUUGUGACAGCCAUUAUAGCUUUAAUCAUUUUCUCGAUUGAUCAAAGCACCACAGACUGCAUCGUUCGUCACCUCUGCCUUUAAGCGCGUUAUCACCUACUCCAAUAAGCCACCCCAAUAUCCUUAAUAAGCAAUAGAAGUUCUUAUCGACUGUGUAUGACUCAUUAAUAUCCAUGUUCUGUAUAAAUUCAUGUGAUAGGCCUACUGGUAUUAAUGUUGAUGUACCGUAAUGUUUUUUGCUCAUGUAUAAUUGAUAAUAAUACAUUAAAAAUAAAUAUAAUGUUAAAUUAUUA